ACGGAAGGCAGCAGUGAGGAAUAUUGGUCAAUGGGCGCAAGCCUGAACCAGCCAAGUAGCGUGAAGGAUGACUGCCCUAUGGGUUGUAAACUUCUUUUAUAUGGGAAUAAAGUGAGCCACGCGUGGUUUUUUGUAUGUACCAUAUGAAUAAGCAUCGGCUAAUUCCGUGCCAGCAGCCGCGGUAAUACGGAAGAUGCGAGCGUUAUCCGGAUUUAUUGGGUUUAAAGGGAGCGUAGGCGGCCUUUUAAGUCAGCGGUCAAAUGUCAGCGCCCAACGCUGGCCUGCCGUUGAUACUGAUGGGCUUGAAUACACACAAGGAAGGUGGAAUUCGUCGUGUAGCGGUGAAAUGCUUAGAUAUGACGAAGAACUCCGAUUGCGAAGGCAGCCUUCUGGAGUGCGAUUGACGCUGAGGCUCGAAAGCGCGGGUAUCAAACAGGAUUAGAUACCCUGGUA
RNAcentral lists this ribosomal RNA (453 nucleotides) under uncultured Prevotellaceae bacterium. RNAcentral describes it as "bacterial SSU rRNA". It matches the Rfam family "Bacterial small subunit ribosomal RNA", at positions 341 to 792 of the family's 1533-position model. The record is from RNAcentral. Lineage: Bacteria; Pseudomonadati; Bacteroidota; Bacteroidia; Bacteroidales; Prevotellaceae.